GUGAAUCAUCAAAUCUUUGAACGCAAAUUGCACUCUCUUCGGAGAGUAUGCCUGUUUGAGGGUCAGUAUUAAUAAAAAUCGGUGUGUUGCUUCUUUGUGACGCUCCGGAGUUGGGUUAUUUUUAUAACCCUUUAGCUUUUAGGAGCUUUAAAUUGAAUUUUUUUUGGCAUUUUAGAUGUUAAUAAAUUUUUUUUUUUAAUUCGCUUGCUUUAU
Molecule: unclassified non-coding RNA, 213 nt
Filed under: Glomeraceae sp.
Lineage: Eukaryota; Fungi; Glomeromycota; Glomeromycetes; Glomerales; Glomeraceae
Description: partial contains 5.8S ribosomal RNA and internal transcribed spacer 2
Rfam family: 5.8S ribosomal RNA (bases 1-65)
Source: RNAcentral